RNAcentral lists this ribosomal RNA (468 nucleotides) under uncultured bacterium. RNAcentral's name for it is "partial 16S ribosomal RNA". It matches the Rfam family "Bacterial small subunit ribosomal RNA", at positions 28 to 507 of the family's 1533-position model. The record is from RNAcentral.
GACGAACGCUGGCGGCGUGCUUAACACAUGCAAGUCGAACGGAAAGGCCCUGCUUUUGUGGGGUGCUCGAGUGGCGAACGGGUGAGUAACACGUGAGUAACCUGCCCUUGACUUUGGGAUAACUUCAGGAAACUGGGGCUAAUACCGGAUAGGAGCUCCUGCUGCAUGGUGGGGGUUGGAAAGUUUCGGCGGUUGGGGAUGGACUCGCGGCUUAUCAGCUUGUUGGUGGGGUAGUGGCUUACCAAGGCUUUGACGGGUAGCUGGCCUGGGAGGGUGACCGGCCACAUUGGGACUGAGAUACGGCCCAGACUCCUACGGGAGGCAGCAGUGGGGAAUAUUGCACAAUGGGCGGAAGCCUGAUGCAGCAACGCCGCGUGCGGGAUGACGGCCUUCGGGUUGUAAACCGCUUUCGCCUGUGACGAAGCGUGAGUGACGGUAAUGGGUAAAGAAGCACCGGCUAACUACGUG